AUUGAACGCUGGCGGCAGGCCUAACACAUGCAAGUCGAACGGUAGCACAGAGAGCUUGCUCUCGGGUGACGAGUGGCGGACGGGUGAGUAAUGUCUGGGAAACUGCCCGAUGGAUGGGGAUAACUACUGGAAACGGUAGCUAAUACCGCAUAAUGUCGCAAGACCAAAGAGGGGGACCUUCUGGCCUCUUGCCAUCGGAUGUGCCCAGAUGGGAUUAGCUUGUUGGUGAGGUAAUGGCUCACCAAGGCGACGAUCCCUAGCUGGUCUGAGAGGAUGAACAGCCACACUGGAACUGAGACACGGUCCAGACUCCUACGGGAGGCAGCAGUGGGGAAUAUUGCACAAAGGGCGCAAGCCUGAUGCAGCCAUGCCGCGUGUGUGAAGAAGGCCUUCGGGUUGUAAAGCACUUUCAGCGGGGAGGAAGGCAAUGCGGUUAAUAACCGUGUUGAUUGACGUUACCAGCAGAAGAAGCACCGGCUAACUCCGUG
This 488-nucleotide ribosomal RNA is filed under the name uncultured bacterium. RNAcentral's name for it is "partial 16S ribosomal RNA". It matches the Rfam family "Bacterial small subunit ribosomal RNA", at positions 30 to 507 of the family's 1533-position model. The record is from RNAcentral.